RNAcentral lists this ribosomal RNA (702 nucleotides) under Bacillus sp. 13450. Its description in RNAcentral is "bacterial SSU rRNA". It matches the Rfam family "Bacterial small subunit ribosomal RNA", at positions 72 to 758 of the family's 1533-position model. Lineage: Bacteria; Bacillati; Bacillota; Bacilli; Caryophanales; Bacillaceae. The record is from RNAcentral.
UUAGAAGCUUGCUUCUAUGACGUUAGCGGCGGACGGGUGAGUAACACGUGGGCAACCUGCCUGUAAGACUGGGAUAACUUCGGGAAACCGAAGCUAAUACCGGAUAGGAUCUUCUCCUUCAUGGGAGAUGAUUGAAAGAUGGUUUCGGCUAUCACUUACAGAUGGGCCCGCGGUGCAUUAGCUAGUUGGUGAGGUAACGGCUCACCAAGGCAACGAUGCAUAGCCGACCUGAGAGGGUGAUCGGCCACACUGGGACUGAGACACGGCCCAGACUCCUACGGGAGGCAGCAGUAGGGAAUCUUCCGCAAUGGACGAAAGUCUGACGGAGCAACGCCGCGUGAGUGAUGAAGGCUUUCGGGUCGUAAAACUCUGUUGUUAGGGAAGAACAAGUACGAGAGUAACUGCUCGUACCUUGACGGUACCUAACCAGAAAGCCACGGCUAACUACGUGCCAGCAGCCGCGGUAAUACGUAGGUGGCAAGCGUUAUCCGGAAUUAUUGGGCGUAAAGCGCGCGCAGGCGGUUUCUUAAGUCUGAUGUGAAAGCCCACGGCUCAACCGUGGAGGGUCAUUGGAAACUGGGGAACUUGAGUGCAGAAGAGAAAAGCGGAAUUCCACGUGUAGCGGUGAAAUGCGUAGAGAUGUGGAGGAACACCAGUGGCGAAGGCGGCUUUUUGGUCUGUAACUGACGCUGAGGCGCGAAA